AUGCUCACUUCAGCAGCACAUACACUAAAAAUGGAACCAUACUGAGAAGAUUAGCAUGGCCCCUGUGUAAGAAUGAUACACAAAUUCAUGAUGCGUUCCACAAUUUA
Otolemur garnettii (small-eared galago) is the source of this 107-nucleotide small nuclear RNA. The record is from Ensembl. NCBI's taxonomy places the organism in Eukaryota, Metazoa, Chordata, Mammalia, Primates, Galagidae.